Long non-coding RNA from Salvia splendens (bonfire salvia), 1046 nucleotides. RefSeq lists it as uncharacterized. The transcript has 2 exons. Lineage: Eukaryota; Viridiplantae; Streptophyta; Magnoliopsida; Lamiales; Lamiaceae. The record is from RefSeq and is a predicted model, not a curated record.
UCGCAGCUACGCUGCUCGAACUUGUUGCCAGGGGCUGGAAAUCAGAUAAUUAUUUCCGCGCUGGGUACUUGACUAAAAUCGAGGAUAACAUCCGGACUGAAUUUCCCGAUUCCGACUUGAAAGGCACUCCACAUAUAACAUCGAAAAUAUCGGCGUGGAAGAAGACAUACUCAAAGGAAUUUUGGGAAGAAGUGGUGUCGGCUUCAAUACCCAUGGCAAAUACAAAAUUGAUUGCGAUGACGAUCAAUGGGAGCAAAUUGUACAUGUAAUGAUCCUCUUCUGUGAAGACAGGCAAGGAUGCCAAAUUAAUGCGUACAAAAUCGUGGCCCGUUUGGGAGACUUAGAAAAGCAUUUUCGGCAAGGACCGUGCCUCCGGUGGUGGGCCCGAGCAAGUAGAUGUUGCGACUGAACAUUUAAAAGCCAAACUAGCCUGUGGUAGCUAGGUAAAUGAGAACGAUUAUCGUCCUCCGUAUAAGAAUGGUACUUCGGUGCAUGCUAGUGAACCAUACGUCCAGCCCUUUGACCUCAACGACGACAGCUCCAGAAAUGGUAGAAAGUAAGCUUCAACUACCAAACCAAGUUCUCACAAAGGGAAACAAUAUUGCCCUGGCACUGUUACGAUGGAGUUCCUUUCUAACCUUCAUGCUGAAACCAACAAUCGUUUGGAGAUGAUUUCUGCACACAUUAGCUACGAGUUUGAUCUAGGAAAGGCGGGGCAGGAGGUCUUCGAUAAGCUGGGCGAUGUAGAGGAGCUAACACUGAAACAGAGGUAUAAGUUAUGUAACAUCUUGGGUGAUAAACCCCAACGACUUGAGGUGUUCAUUGGUAUGCCGGCUAAUGCUCGACUAGGGUACCUGUUGAUGUUGACCGAAGACAACCGCUAGUUUGUUCGUAUUGCUGACAUUUUGUUAUGACUUUAGUAAUAUGUAUUUUCCCUGAUCUGUAUUAAUCGGACUUUAGGGUGAUUAUGCCAUUAGGCAUGAACUAUGUAUUAAUCUACUUUGUGGCACCCAUGUGCAUCAUUCUAAGGUUAUGUAAAUCUGCUA